GCGUCCAUAGUGUAGUGGUGAUCACGUCUCUUUCCCAUUGGUCUCUGAUGGAGAAGAUGUCGGCGAAAAGAGGAGGGCGCGGGUUCGAACCCCGCUGGUCGCA
RNAcentral lists this transfer RNA (103 nucleotides) under Sporisorium scitamineum. RNAcentral describes it as "transfer RNA-Gly(CCC)". It matches the Rfam family "tRNA". Rfam says of the family: Transfer RNA (tRNA) molecules are approximately 80 nucleotides in length. Their secondary structure includes four short double-helical elements and three loops (D, anti-codon, and T loops). Further hydrogen bonds mediate the characteristic L-shaped molecular structure. tRNAs have two regions of fundamental functional importance: the anti-codon, which is responsible for specific mRNA codon recognition, and the 3' end, to which the tRNAs corresponding amino acid is attached (by aminoacyl-tRNA synthetases). tRNAs cope with the degeneracy of the genetic code in two manners: having more than one tRNA (with a specific anti-codon) for a particular amino acid; and 'wobble' base-pairing, i.e. permitting non-standard base-pairing at the 3rd anti-codon position. Lineage: Eukaryota; Fungi; Basidiomycota; Ustilaginomycetes; Ustilaginales; Ustilaginaceae. The record is from RNAcentral.